GAUGAACGCUGGCGGCGUGCUUAACACAUGCAAGUCGAACGGUGAACGAGGGAGCUUGCUCCCUCCGGAUCAGUGGCGAACGGGUGAGUAACACGUGAGCAAUCUGCCCCGAACUCUGGGAUAAGCGUUGGAAACGACGUCUAAUACCGGAUACGACGCGCGAAGGCAUCUUCUGCGCGUGGAAGGAACUUCGGUUCGGG
RNAcentral lists this ribosomal RNA (200 nucleotides) under uncultured bacterium. RNAcentral describes it as "partial 16S ribosomal RNA". It matches the Rfam family "Bacterial small subunit ribosomal RNA", at positions 28 to 224 of the family's 1533-position model. The record is from RNAcentral.